This is a small nucleolar RNA of Molossus molossus (Pallas's mastiff bat), 131 nucleotides long. RefSeq annotates it as small nucleolar RNA SNORA38. The transcript has a single exon. NCBI's taxonomy places the organism in Eukaryota, Metazoa, Chordata, Mammalia, Chiroptera, Molossidae. The record is from RefSeq and is a predicted model, not a curated record.
CCCUCCUACAAAGGUGCAUCUGUGGUUCCCUGUCUUUGGGCAUGUAAGAACUGGAGGCAAAGAAAUGUGGACUUGGAGGAUUCUAGGGCCAGCUUGCUCCCUGCAGGCUCAAUAUCAACCAUCCUAUGUGG